Molecule: long non-coding RNA, 832 nt
Organism: Vicia villosa (hairy vetch)
Lineage: Eukaryota; Viridiplantae; Streptophyta; Magnoliopsida; Fabales; Fabaceae
Exons: 3
Source: RefSeq, a predicted model, not a curated record
UAUUGAAAUAAAAGUUAUAAACCCCAUAUUCUUACGCUCUCACCUUUUUCUCAACCUCCCAAAACCAAAAACCUAAACCUUACCCUUUCUCUCUGCUCGUCACAACUUCGUCUUCGAUCAAAUUGAUGCAAUUAUCGAACAUUCUCAAAAACACGAAACACGUCAAGGAAUUUGAGCUUGGUGUGAAUCUAAAAACUCUCCAAACGAAAUUAUCGAACCCGUUUCGCAACCAAUAACAAUAUCUUUGUCUCGUGAAGAGGCAAAAAUGAACAGUGAACUCGCGAAAUUAGUGAAGAAAGAGGUGGAUUUGGUGCAUCUGUGGCCGGAGUGGAUUCAAUUGAUGAAGAUAUUGGUGCAUUAGAAUUAUUUUUAACACAUGAGGAAGAUUGAGGAUAAAAUGGUGCAGGAUUUAGGGUUUGAUACUACCGAGGAUGUACACGAUGAGGGGUUUGAUUUAACUAAGGGUUUUAAGAGUGUUCGUGUUAUGUGUCUCAAUUUUGGUGAGGAUCAUUUUGACUUGUUGAGAUCCCUUUCGAGGCGGGAUAUUUAAGUUUUGGUUGGUUUGGGAUGCCCUAAUGGGGACAGAAAGGUGAUUUUCUCUGGUAAGCUUUUAAGGAAGCUUGUACACCUUGACAAAGGAGAUGAGUUGAUGGACACUGAAGUUGAAAAGAAAAGGUAACAUUCCAGCAUUUAAAGUUGUUGUAUCAUAGAAAUAUUAAAUAUAUAGGAGUUUACUUUGUGACCUUUUUUUCUUUUCUAAUAAGCUAUCCAAUUUAUCUUUAAAUUAAAAUGUAGAGAAAUAAUUAAUGAAAUUGAUAUAAAUAGGCAUAAC